GAUGAACGCUGGCGGCGUGCUUAACACAUGCAAGUCGAACGGAAAGGCCCUGCUUUUGUGGGGUGCACGAGUGGCGAACGGGUGAGUAACACACGAGUAUACCGCCCUUGACAUUGGGGUAAAAUUACGAAACUGGGGCUCAUAUCGGAUAGAAGCUCCUGCUCCACGUGGGGGGUUGGAGAGAGCCGGCGGUGUGGGCUCGACUCGCGGGUUACCCGCUUCAUGGGGGGGUAGUGGCUGACAAAGGCUUUGAAGGGUAGCCGGCCUGGGAGGGUGGACGGCCACCUUGGGACUGAGAGACGGCGCAGACUCUUACGGGACGCAGUAGGGGAGAAUAUUGCGCAACGAGCGCACGUCAGAUGCGACAACGCCGCGUGCGUGAUAACGGCCUUCGAGUGGUAAACCGAUUUCGCCGGUGAUAAAGCGUGAGUGACGGUACUGGGUAAAGAAGCACCGGCUAACUACGUG
Molecule: ribosomal RNA, 468 nt
Filed under: uncultured bacterium
Lineage: Bacteria
Description: partial 16S ribosomal RNA
Rfam family: Bacterial small subunit ribosomal RNA
Source: RNAcentral